This 1343-nucleotide ribosomal RNA is filed under the name uncultured bacterium. Its description in RNAcentral is "16S ribosomal RNA". It matches the Rfam family "Bacterial small subunit ribosomal RNA", at positions 28 to 1378 of the family's 1533-position model. The record is from RNAcentral.
GACGAACGCUGGCGGCGUGCUUAACACAUGCAAGUCGAACGGAAAGGCCCUGCUUUUGUGGGGUGCUCGAGUGGCGAACGGGUGAGUAACACGUGAGUAACCUGCCCUUGACUUUGGGAUAACUUCAGGAAACUGGGGCUAAUACCGGAUAGGAGCUCCUGCUGCAUGGUGGGGGUUGGAAAGUUUCGGCGGUUGGGGAUGGACUCGCGGCUUAUCAGCUUGUUGGUGGGGUAGUGGCUUACCAAGGCUUUGACGGGUAGCCGGCCUGAGAGGGUGACCGGCCACAUUGGGACUGAGAUACGGCCCAGACUCCUACGGGAGGCAGCAGUGGGGAAUAUUGCACAAUGGGCGGAAGCCUGAUGCAGCAACGCCGCGUGCGGGAUGACGGCCUUCGGGUUGUAAACCGCUUUCGCCUGUGACGAAGCGUGAGUGACGGUAAUGGGUAAAGAAGCACCGGCUAACUACGUGCCAGCAGCCGCGGUGAUACGUAGGGUGCGAGCGUUGUCCGGAUUUAUUGGGCGUAAAGGGCUCGUAGGUGGUUGAUCGCGUCGGAAGUGUAAUCUUGGGGCUUAACCCUGAGCGUGCUUUCGAUACGGGUUGACUUGAGGAAGGUAGGGGAGAAUGGAAUUCCUGGUGGAGCGGUGGAAUGCGCAGAUAUCAGGAGGAACACCAGUGGCGAAGGCGGUUCUCUGGGCCUUUCCUGACGCUGAGGAGCGAAAGCGUGGGGAGCGAACAGGCUUAGAUACCCUGGUAGUCCACGCUGUAAACGGUGGGUACUAGGUGUGGGGUCCAUUCCACGGGUUCCGUGCCGUAGCUAACGCUUUAAGUACCCCGCCUGGGGAGUACGGCCGCAAGGCUAAAACUCAAAGGAAUUGACGGGGCCCCGCACAAGCGGCGGAGCAUGCGGAUUAAUUCGAUGCAACGCGUAGAACCUUACCUGGGUUUGACAUGGAUCGGGAGUGCUCAGAGAUGGGUGUGCCUCUUUUGGGGUCGGUUCACAGGUGGUGCAUGGCUGUCGUCAGCUCGUGUCGUGAGAUGUUGGGUUAAGUCCCGCAACGAGCGCAACCCUUGUUCACUGUUGCCAGCACGUUAUGGUGGGGACUCAGUGGAGACCGCCGGGGUCAACUCGGAGGAAGGUGGGGAUGACGUCAAGUCAUCAUGCCCCUUAUGUCCAGGGCUUCACGCAUGCUACAAUGGCUGGUACAGAGAGUGGCGAGCCUGUGAGGGUGAGCGAAUCUCGGAAAGCCGGUCUCAGUUCGGAUUGGGGUAUGCAACUCGACCUCAUGAAGUCGGAGUCGCUAGUAAUCGCAGAUCAGCAACGCUGCGGUGAAUACGUUCCCGGG